This 505-nucleotide ribosomal RNA is filed under the name uncultured archaeon. RNAcentral describes it as "bacterial SSU rRNA". It matches the Rfam family "Archaeal small subunit ribosomal RNA", at positions 345 to 854 of the family's 1478-position model. The record is from RNAcentral.
AAACUCCCCAAUGCCCGAAAGGGUGAGGGGGUCACCUCGAGUGCCACCCUCGUGGUGGCUUUUGCGGGGUCUAAAAAGCCCCGCGAAUAAGGGGAGGGCAAGACGGGUGUCAGCCGCCGCGGUAAUACCCGCUCCCCGAGUGGUGGGGACUAUUACUGGGCUUAAAGCACCCGUAGCCGGCCGGAUGUGUCUCCCGUUAAAUCCACGGGCCUAACCCGUGGGCUGCGGGAGAUACUAUCCGGCUUGGGGGUGGGAGAGGGCGGCGGUAUUCCCGGGGUAGGGGUAAAAUCCACUGAUCCCGGGAGGACCACCGGUGGCGAAGGCGGCCGCCCAGAACACGCCCGACGGUGAGGGGUGAAAGCUGGGGGAGCAAACGGGAUUAGAUACCCCGGUAGUCCCAGCUGUAAACGAUGCGGGCUAGGUGUCGGGUGGGCUACGGGCUCACCCGGUGCCGAAGGGAAACCAUUAAGCCCGCCGCCUGGGGAGUACGGCCGCAAGGCUGAAA